UUUAUCAAAGUUGGAGUCAUUCUCAUGGAUGAUGUCUUGGUUCAUGUAUUCAUACUUGUGAAUGAAUGGUUGAGUGUUCUCCAAGGAAUGACUUAAAUAAUGGAAUUCUUCACUAACAUUUGACUAACCUUUUAUUAACAUUACUUUACUUUCAAGUCAUUUACUUAAUGCAAUUUAAAUUUCAGUACUUUUAUCAUUCAUUUCCAUUUACAUUUCAUGCAACUUGUUUAUGUUUCAGUCCUUUUCACUUUGCUCACUUGAGCCAU
Molecule: long non-coding RNA, 266 nt
Filed under: Lathyrus oleraceus (garden pea)
Lineage: Eukaryota; Viridiplantae; Streptophyta; Magnoliopsida; Fabales; Fabaceae
Description: Pisum sativum (pea) long non-coding RNA (PSAT_LNC026664)
Source: RNAcentral